GAUGAACGCUGACAGAAUGCUUAACACAUGCAAGUCUACUUGAACUUCGGUUUGGGUGGCGGACGGGUGAGUAACGCGUAAAGAACUUGCCUCACAGUUAGGGACAACAUUUGGAAACGAAUGCUAAUACCUGAUAUUAUGAUUUUAGGGCAUCCUAAGAUUAUGAAAGCUAUAUGUGCUGUGAGAGAGCUUUGCGUCCCAUUAGCUAGUUGGAGAGGAACGGCUCACCAAGGCGAUGAUGGGUAGCCGGCCUGAGAGGGUGAACGGCCACAAGGGGACUGAGACACGGCCCUUACUCCUACGGGAGGCAGCAGUGGGGAAUAUUGGACAAUGGACCAAAAGUCUGAUCCAGCAAUUCUGUGUGCACGAUGACGUUUUUCGGAA
RNAcentral lists this ribosomal RNA (384 nucleotides) under uncultured bacterium. RNAcentral's name for it is "bacterial SSU rRNA". It matches the Rfam family "Bacterial small subunit ribosomal RNA", at positions 28 to 423 of the family's 1533-position model. The record is from RNAcentral.